GAUGAAGAACGUAGCGAAAUGCGAUAAGUAAUGUGAAUUGCAGAAUUCAGUGAAUCAUCGAAUCUUUGAACGCACCUUGCACCCUUUGGCAUUCCGAAGGGUAUGCUCGUUUGAGUGUCAUUGUACUCUCACACUCUCCGAUCCUAUGGAUUCGGGGAGCGGUGGACUUGGGUGUUGCUGCCUUUCCCUGUGGCUCACCUCAAAUGCGUCAGUGCACCUCUUGGUUGGACAUAGUACGGCGUGAUAAGUGUCUUCGCCGGCACCUCGCAAGAGGGUGGCCGAUCGGGAGCUCUGCGCUUUCAAACCGUCUUCGGACAAUUUCUGACAUCUUGACCUCAAAUCGAGUAGGACUACCCGCUGAACUUAAGCAUAUCAAUAACGGAGGA
RNAcentral lists this unclassified non-coding RNA (386 nucleotides) under soil metagenome. RNAcentral's name for it is "partial contains 5.8S ribosomal RNA, internal transcribed spacer 2, and large subunit ribosomal RNA". The stretch from base 1 to 120 matches the Rfam family "5.8S ribosomal RNA", at positions 35 to 154 of the family's 154-position model. The record is from RNAcentral.